This 582-nucleotide ribosomal RNA is filed under the name Cystofilobasidium macerans. Its description in RNAcentral is "eukaryotic LSU rRNA". It matches the Rfam family "Eukaryotic large subunit ribosomal RNA", at positions 81 to 654 of the family's 3401-position model. Lineage: Eukaryota; Fungi; Basidiomycota; Tremellomycetes; Cystofilobasidiales; Cystofilobasidiaceae. The record is from RNAcentral.
UAGUACGGCGAGUGAAGCGGGAAGAGCUCAAAUUUAAAAUCUGGCAGGCUACGCUUGUCCGAAUUGUAAUCUCGAGAAGUGUUUUCCGCGUUGGCCUGUGUACAAGUCCCUUGGAACAGGGCGUCAUAGAGGGUGAGAAUCCCGUCCUUGACACAGACACCCAAUGCUUUGUGAUACACUCUCAAUGAGUCGAGUUGUUUGGGAAUGCAGCUCAAAAUGGGUGGUAAAUUCCAUCUAAAGCUAAAUACUGGCGAGAGACCGAUAGCGAACAAGUACCGUGAGGGAAAGAUGAAAAGCACUUUGGAAAGAGAGUCAAACAGUACGUGAAAUUGUUGAAAGGGAAACGAUUGAAGUCAGUCGUGCCUGCCUAGUCUCAGCCUUUUGGUGUACUACUAGGUCGGCAGGUCAGCAUCAGUUUGGGAGGAUUAACAAGGGAGCUAGGAAUGUGGCAACCUCGGUUGUGUUAUAGCCUAGUUUCGCAUUGAUCUUGCUGGACUGAGGAACGCAGUGCGCCCGCAAGGGUUGGUCUUCGGACACAUUCGCACUUAGGAUGCUGGCAUAAUGGCUUUAAACGACCCGUGA